Molecule: ribosomal RNA, 388 nt
Filed under: uncultured bacterium
Lineage: Bacteria
Description: bacterial SSU rRNA
Rfam family: Bacterial small subunit ribosomal RNA
Source: RNAcentral
AUUGAACGCUGGCGGAAUGCUUUACACAUGCAAGUCGAGCGGCAGCGCGGGGGCGAACCCUGGCGGCGAGCGGCGAACGGGUGAGUAAUACAUCGGAACGUGUCCUUAAGUGGGGGAUAGCUCGGCGAAAGCCGGAUUAAUACCGCAUAAGCUCUGAGGAGGAAAGCGGGGGCUCCGUAAGGACCUCGCGCUGUUGGAGCGGCCGAUGUCGGAUUAGCUAGUUGGUGGGGAAAGGCCCACCAAGGCGACGAUCCGUAGCUGGUCUGAGAGGAUGAUCAGCCACACUGGAACUGAGACACGGUCCAGACUCCUACGGGAGGCAGCAGUGGGGAAUUUUGGACAAUGGGGGCAACCCUGAUCCAGCCAUUCCGCGUGAGUGAAGAAGGCC